Molecule: ribosomal RNA, 1450 nt
Filed under: uncultured anaerobic ammonium-oxidizing bacterium
Lineage: Bacteria
Description: 16S ribosomal RNA
Rfam family: Bacterial small subunit ribosomal RNA
Source: RNAcentral
GAACGAGGAUAUAUCCUUCGGGAUAUAAGCCGAGUGGCACAAGGGUGAGCAAUGCAUAGAUUACCUACCUUUAGGAUAAGGGCAACUUUGUGAAAACGGAGCUAAUACUUAAUAAUACAAAAGAAAAUAAUUUUCUUUUGUCAAAGGGAGGGUAGCAAUACCUUUCGCCUAGAGAGGGGUUUAUGUCCUAUCAGCUUGUUGGUGGGGUAAUAGCCCACCAAGGCGAAGACGGGUAGCCGGUUUAAGAGGAUGGUCGGCCACACUGGGACUGAGACACUGCCCAGACUUCUACGGAAGGCUGCAGUCGAGAAUCUUUCGCAAUGCCCGAAAGGGUGACGAAGCGACGCCGCGUGGGUGAAGAAGGCCUUCGGGUUGUAAAGCCCUGUCAGGGGUUAUGAAAUGUAAGUGCGCUAAUAUCGUGCUUAUUUGACAAAGGCUCCAAAGGAAGCCACGGCUAACUCUGUGCCAGCAGCCGCGGUAAUACAGAGGUGGCGAGCGUUGUUCGGAAUUAUUGGGCGUAAAGAGCACGUAGGUGGGUUUGCAAGUCAGAUGUGAAAGCCUUCUGUUCAACGGAAGAAUUGCAUCUGAAACUGCUAAUCUUGAGUAUAGGAGGGGAGAAUGGAACUUCUGGUGGAGCGGUGAAAUGCGUAGAUAUCAGAAGGAACGCCGGCGGCGAAAGCGAUUCUCUGGCCUAUUACUGACACUCAGUGUGCGAAAGCUAGGGGAGCAAACGGGAUUAGAUACCCCGGUAGUCCUAGCCGUAAACGAUGGGCACUAAGUAGAGGGAAUUACCUAUAUUCUCUCUGCCGUAGCUAACGCAUUAAGUGCCCCGCCUGGGGAGUACGGCCGCAAGGCUAAAACUCAAAAGAAUUGACGGGGGCUCGCACAAGCGGUGGAGCAUGUGGCUUAAUUCGAUGCAACGCGAAAAACCUUACCGGGGCUUGACAUGAUAGAAGUAGGAACCUGAAAGGGGGACGAACGGUAUCCAGUCCGUAGCUAUUACAGGUGUUGCAUGGCUGUCGUCAGCUCGUGUCGUGAGACGUUGGGUUAAGUCCCCUAACGAGCGAAACCCUUGUUUUUAGUUACCAGCGGGUUAUGCCGGGUACUCUAGAAAGACUGCCGUCGUCAAGACGGAGGAAGGUGGGGAUGACGUCAAGUCAUCAUGGCCCUUAUGCCCCGGGCUGCACACGUGCUACAAUGGUCGGUACAGACGGAAGCGAAGCCGAGAGGUGAAGCGAAUCCUAAAAAGCCGAUCUCAGUUCGGAUUGGAGGCUGAAAUUCGCCUCCAUGAAGUUGGAAUCGCUAGUAAUCGCGGAUCAGCAAUGUCGCGGUGAAUAUGUUCCCGAGCCUUGUACACACCGCCCGUCAAGCCACCCAAGCAGGAUGCACCCGAAAACAUUAUAUCUAACCAGGGCAACUUGGAGGAAAAUGUUGAAGGAGUGUUUUGCGA